GACUGGUAACCUUUUCCCUGCUUGUAUGUAUUUAGCCUAUGUAAAUGGUCAAAUGUGCAGCAUUAUGACCUUCAGAUGAAUUAUUCUGUAUUCUGUGUGAUCUUUGCCAUUUAAAGCUGCAAAUCUCAUCUCUGUUGUGGCUUUUAAAAUAGUUAUGUUCCUAGUCACCAUGGUGGCAGACAAAAUUUUGAAAAUUAGACACAACCAUUGUAUCAGCUUGUAGAGCAGAAGGAGACCUGAUGAACAGCCUUAAAUCCCAUUUGAAACAGCCUGAAAAAACCCACAAAAAACUAUAGCAAUGUAAUUUCCUCGUCUUAUUCUAACUCCACCAAGGAAGGACAAGGCAAGAGAUUUGUAUAUGGUCCCAAAGAAUGCAAGCAGAGAGCGUGCAAAUGAGUUGUGCAAAUGGCUAUUUUUGUUAUGAAUAAGGAAAGCUUUGAAAGUUACCAUGUUCACAGUGAUUGCCAAAAUCUCUGAUCCUUAAAUGGUCAAGGAAAGAGACAUUUUUGAUUCUGUAUUGUUAAGGAUGUAACCAAUGUGAUGUACUGCUUUGAGUGUUGGAUUAUGAUAAUGGAGGCCAGGAUUCGAUUCCCAGCUUGGCCAUCAAACCCACUAACUGUCCUUGGACAAGUCACACUAUCUCAGCCUCAGGGGAAGACAAUGGCAAACCUCCUCUGAACAAAUCUUACCUAGAAAACCCAUGUCUUAGGGUUGCCAUAAAUCAGAAACAACCUGAAGGCACACAGCAGCAACAACAACGUUGUUAAAGAUAUUUAAAUGAUUGCAUAUUGUUCAAGUAGGACAGCAUUGCUUCAAGUCAACAUUUUCAACACAUUAUAAAAAUAAAUUUAAACAUUGGUGUCAACUUUCAACUGAAUCGGUAAUAAGUGAGCAAAGAAUAAAAUACUUUUAACAACAGUUCUUUUUAAAGAACACCUGUUCUUUCCCUCCUGAGCUAAGUGCUAAUUCUGCCGAAAAAGACUGUGGAGGUGUGACGUUUAGCUAUCUGCCACCUUUAACUUCUGCUAUGUGGAUUGUGUGGUGCAUUUGCACCUCAGGUGUUUGUUUUUUCUUCUUCUUCACAAGAGCUAGAACAGACUUCACCUAAGUUGGUUUUUCUCUGCCCUCACAGACGGGGUCAUUAAGGGAAAACUGUGUUCUGAAAACUGCUGGCAGAACUCUUGCGUGGAUUGAGGUUCGCUCCAGGAAAGCAGCACUCCGAGUUCCAACCCGAGGGUUUAUGAUUAAUUUUGCAGGCAUUUAUUGUGCAAUGUCAAAUGGCUACUGGCCAGAGCAGGAGUUAAGCCAGGAGAUGACUAUCAAACAAAGCUGUUAUAUUUGGCGGCUAUUCCCAAAGCUGCUGUGCAAAACAGACAUACUGAAGUUAAUUUUUGGAUUUACUAGAUGCAUACUUUUAUCCUGGGGAUUUUCUUUCCCUCCCCUUCCUUCUCUUCUGAAGUGGAAAAACAUGUCCUGACUUGCAGAUUGUAUAUAGUUUUUUAAGGUCAAGAUUCAUACCAGGGACAGUUUCAUGUCUUCUUUAGAUGUUUAUUGGAGACAACGUCUUCCCACCCCCGCAGUCAGCCCUUCCUGGGUGACCUUAGAAGGAGUUGGUUGUAUGUUAUUUCACUUUCUAAAAAUGAAACUGCAUCAGUCAAGAACUUGACAGCCCCUGUCUAGCAAAAAAGUAGGGUAGAGGUGUGGAAGGAGUUGUAAGAAAUAAUAAUUAUCAAUUGCUUUUGGAAGUAUUCUCUGUCCAGGCUUUGCUUUGGCAGAAGGUCAGUCAAAAACUGUGUUUAGACACUACCUGCCAUGAAUGCUUCAACAAUCAAGCUUAAUGUGUAACCAAGGCUUGUGUUUCUUCUGUGUCAGCAGUUGGCAAGGGGAUACUGUAAAUAAGGAUCCCUGUGAGUAAAUAGAUAUAUGUGUGGGAAGGGGAGGGGGUGACUGGUGUAAGCACUUUUGAAAUUCAUGCCCAUGUUAUUUUAAGCGAUAAGAGUAUUUGAGUAACCUGCCAACUGUGCAGAUGGUCUCGAAAACAGGAAAAGAACCCUGCAAGGGCUUUAUUUUUUCUCGUUUUGUUUCAAAAAUCACCUUCUGAGGCAACACUAAGGACAUGGAAAAAAAGAGAAAGAAACUGACUGUGGUUAUGUGUUUCUGCUUCCUUACUGGUUUAGUGAUUCGGUGGUGCAAAGCAUCAUGGGACAAGCAUGUUGUUAACCACAAAACCCAACAUUUAACAAUGACAAAGUUCUGAAAUGGGCCCUAAUACUUUUGGAAGAGAUGAGAGAGCAAAUGUUUCUGUUUUCACCCCUGUUACCCAGGGCUUCAGCAAUUCUUUUGAUGUGUGAUUUCAAUGGAUUCAAGCAUAGAUUCAUGGAAAUUACAGUUCAUUUUUUUUUUUAAAAAAAACAACAAACCAAAUUGUUGCCCAGGGUUUGUAAAAAAUAUCUUUAAUAUAUACUCUCUGUUGUUAUUAUUAUUAUUAUUUUAAAAUGUGGAAACUUGCUAAGAAUUUUUUUGGAAGGUUCAAGCUGGACAUAGAUCAUGUUUUUAUAUAUAUAGCCUUUUUAAAAGAUGCAAACCCUGAAAGUCUGCCAGCUAGUGAGCCAUGUGGGAAGGAAUACAAAAUAAGCAUGUUCAGUUGACUCCAGAAGGUAGUAUGAGUUACUGAGACUUGCAGCUGUUUUCUGAAAGUCAGGACCAUCAUGGACCUAUUCAGUGAAAUUUUACUUUUCUUUUAAGUCUGAUGUUGCUUUGUGUUCCUGCUGGUUUUAAUAAAUGAUGUCAGCUGAAUAUAUUUUUAUGCAAUGCUGUUUAGAUCUUUUCCUUAAUAAACGAAACACUUGUUUACACCUCCGUUUAAUUAUAUUUUUUAUCCCAAACAUAUCUUGCUUUCCCCUUCAUCACUAAGAAAAAAAUUCUUCUCAUUCC
This is a long non-coding RNA of Sceloporus undulatus (fence lizard), 2934 nucleotides long. RefSeq lists it as uncharacterized. The record is from RefSeq and is a predicted model, not a curated record. The transcript has 3 exons. Lineage: Eukaryota; Metazoa; Chordata; Lepidosauria; Squamata; Phrynosomatidae.